AUGUUUUCCAGACUGUUGUAAUGAAUGGAUUGGUAAAAAAAAAAAAAAAAAUCUGUUCUUAUCAGUUUAAUAUCUGAUACGUCCCCCAUCCGGGGACUACAUAUUAAAUGGAUUUUUAGAUCACGGAGAUGGAGCCGGGGCUUGCUCCGUCCACUCCAUGCAUCGGCCUGGUAUUGCAGUGUCUCCAGGAACGGUGUGCUUUCC
Carassius auratus (goldfish) is the source of this 204-nucleotide small nuclear RNA. Its record names the gene U2. It matches the Rfam family "U2 spliceosomal RNA". From Rfam's summary of the family: U2 is a small nuclear RNA (snRNA) component of the spliceosome (involved in pre-mRNA splicing). Complementary binding between U2 snRNA (in an area lying towards the 5' end but 3' to hairpin I) and the branchpoint sequence (BPS) of the intron results the bulging out of an unpaired adenosine, on the BPS, which initiates a nucleophilic attack at the intronic 5' splice site, thus starting the first of two transesterification reactions that mediate splicing. NCBI's taxonomy places the organism in Eukaryota, Metazoa, Chordata, Actinopteri, Cypriniformes, Cyprinidae. The record is from Ensembl.